Molecule: ribosomal RNA, 532 nt
Filed under: uncultured bacterium
Lineage: Bacteria
Description: bacterial SSU rRNA
Rfam family: Bacterial small subunit ribosomal RNA
Source: RNAcentral
AGAGUUUGAUCCUGGCUCAGGAUGAACGCUAGCGGCAGGCUUAACACAUGCAAGUCGAGGGGCAGCAUAAUGGAUAGCAAUAUCUAUGGUGGCGACCGGCGCACGGGUGCGUAACGCGUAUGCAACCUACCUUUAACAGGGGGAUAACACUGAGAAAUUGGUACUAAUACCCCAUAAUAUCAUAGAAGGCAUCUUUUAUGGUUGAAAAUUCCGAUGGUUAGAGAUGGGCAUGCGUUGUAUUAGCUAGUUGGUGGGGUAACGGCUCACCAAGGCGACGAUACAUAGGGGGACUGAGAGGUUAACCCCCCACACUGGUACUGAGACACGGACCAGACUCCUACGGGAGGCAGCAGUGAGGAAUAUUGGUCAAUGGACGCAAGUCUGAACCAGCCGUGCCGCGUGCAGGAUAACGGCUCUAUGAGUUGUAAACUGCUUUUGUACGAGGGUAAACGCAGAUACGUGUAUCUGUCUGAAAGUAUCGUACGAAUAAGGAUCGGCUAACUCCGUGCCAGCAGCCGCGGUAAUACGGAGG